UGGGGAAUUUUGGACAAUGGGCGCAAGCCUGAUCCAGCCAUGCCGCGUGCGGGAAGAAGGCCUUCGGGUUGUAAACCGCUUUUGUCGGGGAAGAAAUCUCUCGGGCUAAUACCUCGGGGGGAUGACGGUACCCGAAGAAUAAGCACCGGCUAACUACGUGCCAGCAGCCGCGGUAAUACGAAGGGUGCGAGCGUUAAUCGGAAUUACUGGGAGUAAAGCGUGCGCAGGCGGGCGUGCAAGACAGAUGUGAAAUCCCCGGGCUCAACCUGGGAACUGCAUUUGUGACGGCACGGCUGGAGUACGGCAGAGNGGGAUGGAAUUCCGCGUGUAGCAGUGAAAUGCGUAGAUAUGCGGAGGAACACCGAUGGCGAAGGCAGUCCCCUGGGCCUGUACUGACGCUCAUGCACGAAAGCGUGGGGAGCAAACA
This 427-nucleotide ribosomal RNA is filed under the name uncultured bacterium. Its description in RNAcentral is "bacterial SSU rRNA". It matches the Rfam family "Bacterial small subunit ribosomal RNA", at positions 355 to 774 of the family's 1533-position model. The record is from RNAcentral.